UACGGGAGGCAGCAGUGGGGAAUAUUGGGCAAUGGUGGCAACACUGACCCAGCCACGCCGCGUGCCGGAAGAAGGCGCUCUGCGUUGUAAACGGCUUUUAUCCGGGAAGAACGGCUCUUACGUGUAAGAGAGAUGACGGUACCGGAGGAAUAAGCACCGGCUAACUCCGUGCCAGCAGCCGCGGUAAUACGGAGGGUGCAAGCGUUGUCCGGAUUUAUUGGGUUUAAAGGGUGCGUAGGCGGCUUUUUAAGUCCGGGGUGAAAUCUCGUAGCUCAACUACGAAAGGGCCCUGGAUACUGAGGAGCUAGAGUACAGGCGAGGCUGGUGGAACGGGUGGUGUAGCGGUGAAAUGCAUAGAUACCAUCCAGAACUCCGAUUGCGAAGGCAGCCAGCUAGACUGUCACU
Molecule: ribosomal RNA, 405 nt
Filed under: uncultured bacterium
Lineage: Bacteria
Description: bacterial SSU rRNA
Rfam family: Bacterial small subunit ribosomal RNA
Source: RNAcentral